AGAAUCUUCCGCAAUGGGCGCAAGCCUGACGGAGCGAUGCCGCGUGGGGGAAGGAGGCCCUCGGGUCGUAAACCCCUGUCGGACGGGACGAAGCCAAUGACGGUACCGUCCAAGGAAGCCACGGCUAACCACGUGCCAGCAGCCGCGGUAAUACGUGGGUGGCGAGCGUUAUUCGGAUUCACUGGGCGUAAAGGGUCCACAGGGGGCGUGCCACGCCCGCCGUGAAACCCGGGGGCCCAACCCCCGGCCUGCGGCGGGCACGGGCGCGCUGGAGCGCGGGAUGGGCAGACGGAAUUCCGGGUGUAGCGGUGGAAUGCGUGGAUAUCCGGAAGAACACCGACGGCGAAGGCGGUCUGCUGGCCCGUGACUGACCCUCAUGGACGAGAGUGCGGGUAGCGAACA
RNAcentral lists this ribosomal RNA (402 nucleotides) under uncultured bacterium. RNAcentral describes it as "bacterial SSU rRNA". It matches the Rfam family "Bacterial small subunit ribosomal RNA", at positions 358 to 774 of the family's 1533-position model. The record is from RNAcentral.